Molecule: ribosomal RNA, 301 nt
Filed under: uncultured bacterium
Lineage: Bacteria
Description: partial 16S ribosomal RNA
Rfam family: Bacterial small subunit ribosomal RNA
Source: RNAcentral
CAGUCGCCGCGGUAAUACAGAGGGUGCGAGCGUUAAUCGGAUUUACUGGGCGUAAAGCGUGCGUAGGCGGCUUCUUAAGUCGGAUGUGAAAUCCCUGAGCUUAACUUAGGAAUUGCAUUCGAUACUGGGAAGCUAGAGUAUGGGAGAGGAUGGUAGAAUUCCAGGUGUAGCGGUGAAAUGCGUAGAGAUCUGGAGGAAUACCGAUGGCGAAUGCAGCCAUCUGGCCUAAUACUGACGCUGAGGUACGAAAGCAUGGGGAGCAAACAGGAUUAGAUACCCCGGUAGUCCCUGUCUCUUAUAC